Long non-coding RNA from Mandrillus leucophaeus (drill), 3688 nucleotides. RefSeq lists it as uncharacterized. The transcript has 2 exons. Lineage: Eukaryota; Metazoa; Chordata; Mammalia; Primates; Cercopithecidae. The record is from RefSeq and is a predicted model, not a curated record.
AGCUGCAGAUUCUCAGCAAAAAUGCUUUUAAUCAUUUCCCCCUUUUAUUGGUUCUUGUUUUGGGGGUGAGGACAAGGGUUGGGGGGAGGGGAUGUUUUUUAACAGGACUUUUUGUUGGAACAAUGUACUACUUGAGUAAUACCAUGUGAACCACCAGUCUAUUCUGGUAUGCUUAGGGAGUACCUCUAAAGACAGAUUAAUCAGAAUGUGCUCUAAAGCUUAUUGUUUGAAUUUAUACAAAUACUGGGACUGUUAACGGGUGGGCAUACAUCAGUGUUUUCAAUGUGCUUAAAUUUGUUUAAAAUUUCCAUAUUCUAGAUCAUUUUUAAUUGAAGAGCACAGUAUGUGUGGAAGACAGUGUGUAACACGUAGUUUGGAAGUGGGACGCUGGAGAGAAUUGAGUGUGUGCUGUCUUGUAUAGUUACUAUCCUGUGCAGCAGCCGGAGAAAGCUCUCACCUCAGGCUUAUAAAAGGGAAUAGUUUCAGGAGCUAUGUAAGCUGGAAAAAAGGUAGGGAGUUUUGGGGUACAGAAGGGUGCUGGAGCUAAUUUUUUCUUCCAAUUUCCCAGCUACCCUGCCCCAGGGAAUUGUGUUUGUCUUCAUUUCAGUGGUGCUUUGGAAACGGAUUCUUUUGGUUCCCUCCUGGAGGUUCAUGCAUUCGUAUAUAUGCUCUGGAAUAAUUUAUGCAUUUGGAUGAUUAAUAUAUUGCUUUCAGAUGCUGGGAGAGUACAUUAACUGAGUGAUGCACAACUUCCUCUCUCUUAGGGAGUUAGACCAUCAGAGGCCUUGAUGGAGACUUGCGUGAGGUGCUAUAUGCAGACUUUCAUGGUCUGUGUGUAGCCAGGAACAUAGCUUGCUUGCAUUUAUUAAGACCAAUCAGCUUAGUGUUUAUUUCUUCUACAGCACAGAUUCACUGGCUGGGGCUCCAGUCUCAAAUUGCCAAUCAUUUGCAAAGUGAGGAAGGAUCUUUGUUGACAGGUUGAAUGCUUUGAAUUUCUGGUGACUACUUUGAAAUAACUUGUUUUGUGUGUCAAAUUCUAAGCAUAUGUCUUAAAAGGCAUUUUUGACUAUCAUCUCCAAGGGAAUAACAUGAGAAACCCAAAGUACUAUGCUGCAGUCGGGGGAGAGGUGGAUUGCAGCAGUAUCCUCAACUACCUCUUCUCACUGUCAGUGACUCCAUCUUGGAAUACCUUUGGGAAGCAGCGGGAAAUGUGCAUGUGGGUAGAGAUCAAAGGAGGCAAUGGUUCCAAGCCUUGCCAUAGGGCUGCCUCCAAGUAUACAGAAGGAUGCCAGUUGCCACAGGUCCCUGCCCUGUGUCACCUGUCUGCCCUUCAUUAAGGUGACAAAUCUGCAGAUAGCAUCAUUAAGAUCAGUUUUAAGGGGUAUAGGGAGGGUAAGGGAAGGUGGGGGGGGUGUUAGGGAAGGGUGGGGGGGUAGAGGUUUUGGGAUGUCUUAGUUAGAAACCAGAUUAAUAGAAGAGUAGGCCUGUUAUAUUACAUCAUGAGCCAUAGUGGUGGGAGAGAACUUUAGCAAUAUAGCCCUACCCCCUCAUUUUAGUGAUGAGGAAUCUGAGAACUGGAGAGGUUCAGUGACUUCUUAAAAGUCACACAACACAGCUAACCAUGAUGCCAAUCACCAUGCUUAUUUUGGGAAACUCUUAUCUUUUUUUAAUUCCAUUUUACGAAAAGACAUCUUCAUGGUCCAGGGAAUAUGUAUCUUGUAAAAUGUCCCUGGCUGGAGUAGCUUGUCCAGUCUUGACAAACUACUGAAUUUCUGUCUUGCCUCUCCUUCAGUGCCUUUUAAAAGGUUUUCCCUUUUCUGAUCUGCAUUACAACAUCGAGUCACAUAAAUGUCCCCCCUAAGAAACCAAUCCCACUUCUUACUAGGAGAUUGGGUAUCUUAGAUAAUCUUUUGGGGUUCCUCUGUGAGUAUAGGAAUGAUAUCUUUCCUAAUUAUCUUCCAAAGGAAUUAUUCUGUGUGUGUGUGUGUGUGUGUGUAGAGACAUAAAGGAAGGGUGAUGUGAUUUUCAGCUAGUCCUUUCACAUUUUCAAUAAUGAGGUAAUCAUGUUACAUACACAUUAGUCCUCAGUUAUAAAGUGAAUCUCAGAUAGAAAUUAAAAAUGCAGUUGUGUUAAGACUCUUUCAUACUACCCUUUAGUCGUAAGGAGAAAAAUAACCUCAAAUAGUAGAAGCAGCAAGUAGCAAACUUCAGGAGAGCUACUUUCUAUCCAAAUAAACAAUUUAAAAACACUUUUCACCUACUCCUUUCAUGGUUAUAACACAUUGGCAGACUUUUUGCUGGCUCUGGGAACCAUGAUUUUAAUCACAUUCUGCAAGGUGACAAAUGUCAUACAUUCCACAUUGUGUGGUAGCCAUCUCUUUAGACUCAUGUGUUUGGGGGAAAGGAAGAAGUUCUUGGUUAAGUACUAUUUUGAACUUUCCAGAACCUAUCUGUCCUCUCAUACCAGAGACAGUUCCUCUCUGCUCAGUUUCCAAUCGCGGAUAAUUUGCUAAAAUAACAUUGUACAUCUAAGAGAGGAAAGAAGAGUAUGUCAGUAUAUUAUGCAGAAGAUAGAUAGAGCCUUUUCAGAAGAUCUCCACUAGUUGUUGAUCCAAAAAUCCAACUUUAUGGGAGAAAUCUCAAUUAGCCACCUUUUCACAGUUGUGUGGAUGUAACAUUUGGGGGCUCUUUCUGGACUCCUACCUAUCUGUGCAUUUUACUGGCACCUCAGGAAAGGAGGGUGACCAGGUUGUCUUAGCCUGUACUGCUUGGUGGUCUCUGAGGACCUUCUAAGUCAGUUGUACCCCAAUGUUCCAUGUAUAGAAAAACUUCAUUAGAACAAACUUUACUUGAUAUGAAACUCCUAUUAACAGUCUUUUUUGAAAUAAAAGUAGCUUGAGCUUUCUUUUAAAAUCAUGUAUCUUGAUUGUUGAUUUAAUGAAGGAUUUCCUUUUAAUGCUGCUUUUGAGCUUCAAGGUAAUAGGACAGCAGGAACCUAAAAUAUCUGCCAUCAUCUGCCAUAGGAAAGAUACCCAGAGACCCGUCAUGUUCUCUUUUUGUUGUUACACUGUUGAGUGGGUAUAACAAUUGGAAGAUGAACAAACUGAUUGAUUGUGCAAACUACUUUUUAUGACAAGCCUAAACCCUGAUAAUGCGGCAGCUUAAAGUGUAUACAUAUGCACUAACUUUGAUCAAUUAUAUUCUCAUAUCUGUUAGCCACACAAUCUCCUAUUAUCUCAAUUGCUUAUGCGCAUAUGGAGUAUGUUACUUAAAACGUGCAUUCUUACUGAAAAUGUUUUCUAAGGAAGAUAUCAGCUGUGGGCUAAUUGCCACCAAUUUCAGCCUGCCACGAUUCUUGGAAAUGUAUCUUCCAAGUGCCAUCCAUCAUCAGUAGGACAAGUGUCGGGAGUUUGUUUAUUUUUUUCCAGUAGCAACGAUGGGUUACAUGGAGCCAUGAAACCUCCUUCUGGCCUCCCUUGUGAUUAAUGGCAUGUGUUUGUAAAAUGGAUAGCUGGGGUUGGCAGAUGGCUAGAGAAGAAUCGCCUUUGGUUUAAAAUGUAUGUGGUCCCCUAAUGAUUGUGACCCCAUUCUGUAAUCAACUGAGCUAGUUCCAAUAAAGUUAAGCAGGUUUAAAUCCACUUUGUGCCUAUCUUUUCACUGACAAUAAAGUUAGCUAUUUUAAAAUGCA